Molecule: ribosomal RNA, 254 nt
Filed under: uncultured bacterium
Lineage: Bacteria
Description: partial 16S ribosomal RNA
Rfam family: Bacterial small subunit ribosomal RNA
Source: RNAcentral
UACGUAGGGGGCGAGCGUUACCCGGAUUUACUGGGCGUAAAGCGCGUGUAGGCGGCUGGUCAAGCGUGGUGUGAAAUCUCCGGGCUCAACCCGGAAACUGCAUUGCGAACUGACCUAGCUGGAGUGCAGGAGAGGGCAGCGGAAUUCCCGGUGUAGCGGUGAAAUGCGUAGAUAUCGGGAAGAACACCAGUGGCGAAGGCGGCUCACUGGCCCGGUACUGACGCUGAGGUGCGAAAGCGUGGGGAGCGAACAGG